UGGGGAAUCUUGCACAAUGGGCGCAAGCCUGAUGCAGCAACGCCGCGUGCGGGAAGACGGCCCUAGGGUUGUAAACCGCUUUCAGGAGGGAAGAAAAUGACGGUACCUCCAGAAGAAGGUGCGGCCAACUACGUGCCAGCAGCCGCGUGACACGUAGGCACCAAGCGUUAUCCGGAUUUAUUGGCGUAAAGAGCUCGUAGGCGGUUCGGUAAGUCGGGUGUGAAAACUCUGGGCUCAACCCAGAGAGGCCACUCGAUACUGCUGUGACUAGAGUGCGGUAGGGGAGCGGGGAAUUCCUGGUGUAGCGGUGAAAUGCGCAGAUAUCAGGAGGAACACCAGUGGCGAAGGCGCCGCUCUGGGCCGUAACUGACGCUGAGGAGCGAAAGCAUGGGUAGCAAA
RNAcentral lists this ribosomal RNA (399 nucleotides) under uncultured bacterium. Its description in RNAcentral is "bacterial SSU rRNA". It matches the Rfam family "Bacterial small subunit ribosomal RNA", at positions 355 to 772 of the family's 1533-position model. The record is from RNAcentral.